GAGUUUGAUCGUGGCUCAGGACGAACGCUAGCGGCAGGCUUAACACAUGCAGGUCGAGGGGCAGCGCGGGUAGCAAUACCUGGCGGCGACCGGCAAACGGGUGCGGAACACGUACGCAAUCUACCUCCGUCUGGGGCAUAGCCCAGUGAAAACUGGAUUAACUCCCCAUAGAAUAACAGAGUGGCAUCACUCAAUUAUUAAAAUUUAUUGGACAGAGAUGAGCGUGCGUCCCAUUAGCUAGUUGGUAGGGUAACGGCCUACCAAGGCAACGAUGGGUAGCCGGUGUGAGAGCACGACCAGCCACACGGGCACUGAGACACGGGCCCGACUCCUACGGGAGGCAGCAGUGAGGAAUAUUGGGCAAUGGACGAAAGUCUGACCCAGCCAUGCCGCGUGAAGGAUGAAGGCGUUCUGCGUUGUAAACUUCUUUUAUCUGGGAAGAAAGUACGGUUUCUACUGUAUCCGACGGUACCAGAGGAAUAAGCACCGGCUAACUCCGUGCCAGCAG
RNAcentral lists this ribosomal RNA (508 nucleotides) under uncultured Sphingobacterium sp. Its description in RNAcentral is "bacterial SSU rRNA". It matches the Rfam family "Bacterial small subunit ribosomal RNA", at positions 9 to 514 of the family's 1533-position model. The record is from RNAcentral. Lineage: Bacteria; Pseudomonadati; Bacteroidota; Sphingobacteriia; Sphingobacteriales; Sphingobacteriaceae.